UACAGAGGUGGCGAGCGUUAUUCGGAAUUAUUGGGCGUAAAGGGCGCGUAGGCGGCUUGACAAGUCCCGGGUGAAAUCCCUCGGCUCAACCGAGGAACUGCCUUGGAAACUGUCUGGCUUGAGGCCGGGAGAGGGUAGUGGAAUUCCCAGUGUAGCGGUGAAAUGCGUAGAUACUGGGAGGAACACCGGUGGCGAAGGCGGCCACCUGGACGGUAACUGACGCUGAGACGCGAAAGCGUGGGGAGCAAACAGG
RNAcentral lists this ribosomal RNA (253 nucleotides) under uncultured bacterium. RNAcentral's name for it is "partial 16S ribosomal RNA". It matches the Rfam family "Bacterial small subunit ribosomal RNA", at positions 524 to 776 of the family's 1533-position model. The record is from RNAcentral.